This is a long non-coding RNA of Gallus gallus (chicken), 895 nucleotides long. Lineage: Eukaryota; Metazoa; Chordata; Aves; Galliformes; Phasianidae. The record is from Ensembl.
CUUGAAUGUCUCUAUGUGCCUACAUUCAGGAAAAUGAAUCACCUCCCCUAAGUCUAUAUGUAAAUAUAAUUAACAUUAAAAGCAUUUAGAGAUAGGAGGGCUUUUAAUUUGUUCUGUUUAUUACUUAUUAUUUAAAUAUAGCUUAACAAGGCAAACAAAGCAAAAUGCCUGUAUCUCAUUAUCUUUCUAUAUUCUGGGGGAAAAAAAAUAAAAAAAGACAAUACACAAAAAGUGUCUAAAAGUGAGCAGCUUGUGGUUAUGUUGCUAUAGUUACAGAAUGAUCAGAGGCUUUGCUAAGCCAGAAAAAGAAAUGAGCAGUUUCAAAAUAGUUUUGCACCUAGCUGCUGCAGACAGUGUUGCAUUUCCAAGUAGGCAUGUUUGUUCUGCUUUGCAUUGGUGAAAUGUGAAGAAUGUGAAGAAACCAUUUGUCUCUUGAAAUUUCUAACGAAUAAAAAUCCUUUUCACUGAGAAAUUCUGAAAAAUUCUAUUAAGAUAAGAACAACAGCUGCUAUUAACAGAGAAAAAAAUCUAAAACGUUGAAAACAAGAGUCUGAUUCAUCAAUCUAACCACUGAUACCCUAGAGCCGUUCAAGACAGCGAAAGGUCAUAAAUGAAGAUGCUAAGCAGUACUGUCCUCAGCAUGAACCUCAAGAGUCAGCUGCUAGUGGCUAGCCCCCAUUUCAUUUCAUUACUCGUGUUGUUUUAUGAAGUCUACCCACCUGAAAGUUACCUGUUUUAUCAGAAUAAAGGAAUUGUCUGCCACUUGCUGCAAGUAGUGAAAUAAAAUUAUCCCAUGUGCUUUUAAAACAUCUUCAGUAUAACACAUGCACUGCUUCAAGUUUGUAGGAAUCAAGAAUCUAUCCUGCAUAACUUCAGUCUUGUUGGAGUUUCCUCC